GCAAGUCGAACGAGAACGGGUUAUAGUUUACUAUAACUGUCAGCUAAGUGGCGCACGGGUGAGUAAUAUAUAGGUAACGUGCCCUAGAGAAGAGGAUAACAUCUGGAAACGGUUGCUAACACUCUAUAUGCCUUUAAGUCAUAAGACUGCAAGGGAAAUAUUUAUAGCUCGAAGAUUGGCCUGUACAGUAUCAGUUAGUUGGUGAGGUAAUGGCUCACCAAGACAAUGACGCUUAACUGGUUUGAGAGGAUGAUC
This 255-nucleotide ribosomal RNA is filed under the name uncultured bacterium. RNAcentral's name for it is "partial 16S ribosomal RNA". It matches the Rfam family "Bacterial small subunit ribosomal RNA", at positions 57 to 305 of the family's 1533-position model. The record is from RNAcentral.